UUAGAAAUACAUAAAUUCAAAAACUAUGUCGUUUUGUUUAUAAUAGAGCCGUUGGAAAAGGAAUCGCGAAACGGUGUCGUUUUAGGUAAUAUUUUAAUAACUAGAUUUUUUGUUGGUUGGGAGAUCUGGGUCUUUACCUUUUAUGGUGUUCUUCUGAAAAGGGCUCUCCCUCACUGUCCUUCGAAGAAUCUUAUCUUCCACUUAUCAUUCAUCUAAAUCUAAAUUUAAGACAAGAUUGAUGAUGAGAUUGAUACGAUCCUGAAACCAUUCAUAAAAGGGUAUGUAUUUUGAAAUCUCAUUGCAAUUUCCUAAAUUUUGUUUAACAUUUAGACUGAGUUAAAUGAAAUUGGUGUCAAGAUUCUGCAACCCGUGUUUCUCAAUUUGGGGUUGAGAGAACUUUUUCAUGCUUGCUUAUUUGAUGAUAAGUAUAGUAAUUUAGUUGUAUACAUCUCUCUUAAACAUCAUAAUUCUACUUUUUGAAAUUAUUGCUUUCGCUGUGUUGAUUAUGAUGUUUGCAGAUUGAGAUAAUUUUGCCUUAUUAAUCCUCCUUGUAUUUAUUAGUGUAAUGAAUAAACUUGUAUUUUGAUAUGCUAAUUGUGUUAUUAAGAACCAUUGAACAAAGAUCAUGUUAUCUGCAUAUUGAGAUUAUCAUUCUGGCCCUUCCUAUUGACGUUAACUCGUUCAUUGUUCUAUUGUAUCUCUUGUUUUAUUGAAAUAUGAAUGAGAAUUGUCUUUUUUUGGGAAUUGGUGCCGAUGGGAUUCUUGCUGAUAACUUUGUUGAUGAUUUUGGUUCGGCGUGUCUGUAACAAUGGCGAGGUCCAUGGGAAUUUGGAAUGAUGACAAUCCGCAUGGAUGGUUCUCAAGCAUUAAUGGAUAGUUUGUUUCUUUGAUGUGGAGUUGAGGAAUCUCAGUCGGGUUGACGAAUAUGGGUCCAGUGAUGCAUUCGGGUAACUCUGUUUCACUAUUUCAUGCAUGAUUAAUUGUUUUCCUAUAUACAUGAUUCUAUAGUGCGAUGAAUUGGAGCAUAAUAAAUUAGGGCUUUUGCUAUUUCAAAUAUGCUUGUUUAUUUAUGUAUAUUGUGAAGGCAUAAUUAUACUCGAAAUCCCUAUAGAUGCCACCUUGUGAUUUACGUGAGAUGUUUGGAAUCACAAUAUAUUUAAUUGUGGGGAGCAGCACUUGCACUUCUUAUUGUCAAUUAUUGAUUUUCAAUUGGCUUGAUUUAUGUCAAGUUUGGUUGGAAUUAAUAGAAUUGACUGCAUAUCAUGUAUUCUUUAUACGGUGCAAAUCUAUGAUAUUAAUUUUCGUCAAAUAUGAAAGCUUGUGGGUGCUAUGGAGCAACACAUACAGAUGAAUAUAUAAGGUAGAUGUUUUAUUGACCGCCUACAAUGACUCUUGCGACAUUAAACUUUUAGCCAUUUACAAAAUGUAUAUUCUAUUAUGAGUUGGAAAGUAAAUAAUUAUUUUGUCAUCUUAUUGGAAAUUCAUAAGAUUAAAGAUAAGCGGAUGUCAUUAUUUUCUCCAAUGACUUGCUUACGAAUCUAUAUAUAAUUGAUGAUGGUGUUGAUAAUGAAUUAAAGAUAUGAAGUUUUUUAAUUUGGAUUAUUGUCAACUUAUGUUAUCAUGUAUAAAUCUUAGGAUUAAUAGACUUGUUAUUGUCUAUGGUCUGUUUAUUCUAUUGUGAAAAUCAUGGAGUUUAAGAUGCAUGCUUAUUGUAUAUGUAUAUUUGUAACUUCAUUUAUGAUGCAUGUUUCCGCUAUUAUGUAUUGAUUGAAAUCACAAAUAGGGAGGAAGCUGAACUUUGAGCUCUCCAUAAGAAAUAGUGGUCUUGGUUAUCUUGUUUUAAUCAAAACAUAUUGUUGUGAUAUAUAUCCAGACAUUAUCAAGAUUUGGUUGAUCUUGCUCGAUGGAUAUUGAACUAUUGAACUAGUUAGGAUCAAAUUGAAUGCAAAAAUAUUGUGCUUGCUAUUCUGAUUUUGAUCGUUGUUGAAACUAGUGAUUUUGGGUUUAUGUGAGAUAAGUUUUUCCGAAUGGAUUGUGACUAUCUUUUCAUACAUAGACUGUUUGCAUAAUGGUUUAGGUGUAUAUGACUAAACUGAGAUUAUGCAAUUGGUGAGGAAUCGGGAACCAAUUGAUUCAUAUCUCCGGUUUCUUUAUCGGUUGUGCAAUACAUUCUGCUUAUGCUUAAGUGGGAGAAUCAUAUGUUCGAAUGUAAGCAUAAGGCUAAGAGUAUUUAGGCCGGCCAUUAUAAUUCAUUUGGAUGCUUAAAAACCAGUUUAUGGCUUUAUUGAAGCAAUUGAUUGAAUUAUUUGUGUUACUUAAUUUGUUUAAGUAAUGAGAAGGAUCCUAUUAUGUUAGCAUUCAAAAGGAAACGAAUUUGGUUUCCAUAUGGAUUCUGAUUAGUUAUUCAUUGUAUUAGAAUGAUUUUUAGUUAAUAUAGUUGCUAUUAACUUGUACUUAACUUGGUUGUGUUAAGUACGGCCUAGAUAAGUGGGAGCAAAUUGGUUUGGUUUUGCUAUAUUGGUUCACAUAAUUACAAAGUGCAAAUUAAGUAUGUUGUGACUUUUGAGUUAAUUCUGCGAUGUAACAGAAAAGAUUCUUAAGUUCAAUACUUUAAAAUGCAUAGGUAAGUUGUAUGUGAGGUUAAGCUUUUGUUAUCCAAAAGAUUUGGUGAUCGCUUCUAUGAAUAUGAUAAUGAUGUUGAUUGGAUCAUAACUGUGAUAUUUAUACAAUUAUGAAUAAUUUUAAGCUGACAGCUUACUGUCAAGAAUAUUUGGUAUUUUUUAUAUCAAUUUUGGGCUAUAUGAGUGGGAGUAGAUGUCUUGGUUUACUCUUAAGCUUAGAUACAUUGCUAUGAACAUGAACUGGACAUUGUGAUUUGUAAGUUAAAUUUGCAUUCUGUGUUGCAGAGGCAAUUAUAAAUUCAUUGUUUUGGUUUAUGUAAGUUGGUUGUGUCUAUGUACUAGUGUGAUGGUAAAUGACUUAUUUGAUCACUUUUAUAAUAAUUUGAGAUGAUUAUUUGUUGUGAUGAAUCAUAGUCAAGUGGGAGAAUGUAAGAGUAUGAGUAUGAUUCUUACAAGUCUUGGGAUAAAUCUUUAUGGUAUAAAAAAUCUUUAUGGUUUGUAUAACUUUGAAUUCUAGUCCAAUUCUAAUAGGGAAUGGAUAGAGGAGUACUAUAUAUAUGGUUCAAACCACUGCUCUUGCGAUACCAUCUUGUGUUGUUCGAAGACCUAUUGAUUAGAGAAGCUAUUGUCAUUGUAAAAGAGGAGAAGGUUUCGAACACUGAGGCUGCAAUAGCUUCUUCAUCAGGAUUGAACAAUGUAGGUGAAUGAAGACACUGCAAAACCCACCCCAAAGAAAAAGGGACGAAAGCCAUCAAUUCGACUUGUUACUGUAAAUGUUGGCAAAAAAGCAGCAGAGGAUGCAAUGCAAGAAGAAGGUUGACUGACAUAGAGAAAAUUUUAGUUGCAACAAGAUGAAUUUUUCGUUAUGAAAGAGAAGCGCUGCAAUGAGACGCUGAUGGAGAAAGAGAGCCAUUGUAGUGUGACAUUGGUUGAGAAAGAGAAUUACUGUGUUUUAGUUGAUAAACAAUUUCCCAAACCAUGUUAAGAUUCGGAGACGCAUAUAAUUGAUAGAAAGUCGAAUUAUACUAUACAAAACGGGGCUGUAUUUGAUUUGGAUGAAAUG
Long non-coding RNA from Malus domestica (apple), 3684 nucleotides. RefSeq lists it as uncharacterized. The record is from RefSeq and is a predicted model, not a curated record. Lineage: Eukaryota; Viridiplantae; Streptophyta; Magnoliopsida; Rosales; Rosaceae.